This is a long non-coding RNA of Salvia splendens (bonfire salvia), 579 nucleotides long. RefSeq lists it as uncharacterized. The record is from RefSeq and is a predicted model, not a curated record. The transcript is spliced from 2 exons. NCBI's taxonomy places the organism in Eukaryota, Viridiplantae, Streptophyta, Magnoliopsida, Lamiales, Lamiaceae.
UCGUAGUGUUAACUUCAUUGGAAAACUGAAAUGACCUAUUUGUCCUCAUCUUCUUCAAUCACGUAACAUUUCACCUCCCUUUCUGUACAUUUUUUUACCGCUGCCUGCUCUCGUCUUCUCUCCGCGGAAUCAUCAAUUAGCACCGGCUUCUUCAGGGACUUCGAGUUAAAUACCCACGACUACCAAGGUGCCGGUGGGCGGAUUUUAUGUGGAUGGUGUGCUGACACGUGGCAGAAAUGGUGAUCCAAAAGCAAAAUAAACGUGCAAACAACAACAACAACAGUAUUUUUUGUAUGUAUCGCCAUGAAAAUAGAUCUAAAUUAGGGUUUUUGGGUAGUGACAAGUUAAAAUAGGUAGAGAGAGGAAGUGAUUUGAGGUUGUGACAUUAGAGGGGAAGAGGUAUAUAUCGAAAAUGAUGAAGGGAACAUGAUGGUCAUAACCAACAAUGCAAAGGUAAGUGUAAGAUCGAUGCACAUGUGCCGUUUUUGGAAAAAUUAAUGUAAUUAAAGUAAUGAACAUGCGAAUAUUUCCAAACAUGGCAAGGAUAACAUUUUCAUGACUAUAAAAGGGAUUUCCCCA